RNAcentral lists this long non-coding RNA (2155 nucleotides) under Struthio camelus australis. RNAcentral describes it as "lncRNA (ENSSCUG00000017304.1)". The record is from RNAcentral. Lineage: Eukaryota; Metazoa; Chordata; Aves; Struthioniformes; Struthionidae.
GUGGGACGUGUGGUGUCACAGUGGGAUGCAGGGCCAUGGGGGAACAUGUGGGGGGCACAUAUGGGGACACAUAGGGGGAUGUGAGGAGGACACAGGGGACAUGGGGGGUUCACAAGGGUGGCAGGAAGGGCCAUGGGGGGCCAUGGGGCUGAUAUGGGACAUGGGGGACAUGGAGGACACAGGGGGACACAUAGGAGGACAUGGGAGGACCCAGGAGGAGCUGGGUUGACAUGGGGUGACCUGGGAGGACAUAGGGCAAGGGAGGACCUAGGAGGACACAGGAUGACCUGGGAGGACUAGGGGUGACCCGUGAGGAUGCAGGAGGAUCUAGGAGGCCACGGUAGGCCACUGGGUGACAUGGGGUGACCCAGGAGGACCUGGGAGGACCCGGGGUGACAUGGGAGACCACGGGGUGACCCAGGGUGACAUGGGAGGUCCCAGGAAGAUCUGGGAGGCCAUAGGGUGACCAAGAAGGCCCCCAGAAGUUCCUGGGAGGACCUGGGGAGACACAGGGUGACCCGGGUGACCGGGUGUCCCCGGGCACCCGCGCUGACGGCCCGUGGCAGCAUACCGCAUCCACGUGAACGUCCGCACCGUCACCAUCCUCCACGCGCUCAAGGAGGGCUUCAAGGUCGACAUCCGGGGCAAGACGGAGCUCAAGGGCAAAGGCGUGGAGGACACGUACUGGCUCGUGGGCCGGGAGGGCUUCAAUAAGCCCAUCCCCACCCCUCCCGACCUGCUGCCCGGCGCCAGCAACCACGGCAUCAGCCUGGACGAGAUCCCGCCCGAGCGGCGCCGCAAGCUGGAGAAGGCCCGGCCGGGGCAGGUGCCCAAAUAGCCACGGGCUGAGGGGCCAGCUAGAGCUGCCAGGGUUUGGAGUCCUCCAGACCAUAGAGACCUGUCCCCAGGGUGACCUCCAUAGAGCCACUCUGUGCCUGUGUGCAGCCGUUUUCUAUGGUCAUAGAGCACUUCUCCAGCACCAAGGGCUUGGAGUCUUCCAGACCACAGAGGUGGAGCUAGAGGGGCCCCUUCCCCGGAGCCGCUCUGCACUACCAUGGAGCCCUGCUUGGCGGUCCCCCCUCCGUGAGCAUAGAGACUGCCGAGCUGCAGCUAGAGCAACCCCUCCAGAGAGCCAUUCUGCACCGCCAUGGCGCCCUGCUCUAUGGUCUUCUCCUUCCCGGAUCCCCUGCGACCAUAGAGCCCUGUGCCCAGAGCGGUGCCCCAGCGCAUGCCCCGGGGCAUUGUGGGACUUCAGCCAACGAGCCUGGUGCAUCAUGGGACACUGGCUGACUUCUGGACUGCUGCGGCUGCUGACUCCAGGGCAUGAUGGGAGCCGGGUCGGCCCAGGCCCGCCCUUUGCCUCCCACCAGGAGCAUCAUGGGAAGGAGGUCCUGGGCUCAGGGGCAUGAUGGGACAUGGGGGCCUCCAGCCCCUCCCCCAAGGGAAAAAAAAAAAUUCUGGCAGUCAAAAAUUCCCCCCUUAAAGGGAUUUUCCUCCUUUUAAAGGGGCAGAAUUGGAGGGCGGGGGAGUGGGCACUGUUUUUUGUCCGGGGAAGCAAAACACUCUUAAAGGGGUGGGCGGGACCCAUGGCCCAAUGGGAGCAUUUGUCUGCCGACAAAAAAAAAAAAGGCUCUUAAAGGGGUGAGGACAGGCCCGCAGGGCCAAUAGUCUUCUAUCUUUAGACAGAAAAAAAAAAAAAAAAACAGUCUUAAAAGGGAUGGCAAUGGAGGUGGUGGCUCAAUAUUUGUCUGCAGGCGAAAACAAAAAAGGAGACUUAAAGGGGCAGGGGCGAGGGCAGGAGCUUCUUAAAGGGACAGGCUCUCCCUGCAGCCCCGGGCAGCGCAGAGGGGCCCAAGGCUCUUAAAGGGGUGGGUGGCCAUGUUGGAUGACCCAUGACCCCUCCACUGGGCAUCAAUGGCGCUUCUUAAAGGGACGGUUGACUGUUAUUUUAUAGGCUCGAUGUUGAUAUCUAGCUCUAUGUUUAAAGGGGCAGGUGUGUCCCCCCCCCCACGCCCGCCAUUUUAUCUCCCCAAUAAGCUGUUCUUAAAGGGAUGAUUGCGUCAGUCAUCUUGCAAUGCUGCCUCUCCAGAAUAUUUGUCUGUAGAUGAAAAAAAAUUGAAGCUUAAAGGGAUGCCCCAGGGGGCUGGUUUGGGCC